This 1304-nucleotide ribosomal RNA is filed under the name Schistodesmus lampreyanus. RNAcentral describes it as "16S ribosomal RNA". The stretch from base 860 to 1208 matches the Rfam family "Archaeal large subunit ribosomal RNA", at positions 2148 to 2718 of the family's 2987-position model. Lineage: Eukaryota; Metazoa; Mollusca; Bivalvia; Unionida; Unionidae. The record is from RNAcentral.
GCAAAAACAAACCUUAAACCUAUACAAACUAAAGAAAAUUCUCACAGCGCACAGUAUUUCAUAAAAAAUCUUCCUAUCCACUCAAAAACCGCAAGGGCCAAUUUUUUAGCCUUUUCAAGAAAUGGUAACACCAUGUCCCUUUUGCAUCAUGGAGAAGCAACAAAACCAUAGCAAACUAACCUCCCGAAUGACUAUGAGCUACUAACUCUUAAAAAUCAAUGUUUCAUAAUUGAUAAAAUAACCCUUAGUAGAAGUAACAAGCCUUUCAUAUAGUCGUAUAGCUGGUUUUUCUUUAAAAGCAUCAAAGUGCUGCCUUAUAGUAUAAAACAGUACCAUGUUACUAAGACUAUAAAGUUUAGUUUAUUGAGGAUAAGCUCAAUAAUAACACAAAAAUAUUUUACUUCAUAACAUUAAAAGUAGGCUUAAAAGCAGCCAUCAUAUAACGUUCCAGUUACUAACGCUUAAUCGAGCAAUAUCCAUACACUAAUUUUAACGCUUAAAGAAAUUUAAUAUAAAACUCCUCAUAUUAAUAAACAGGCAUUCUAUUAGUAUUAACGUAAUCUAUAUUCAUAACCCUAAAUAAAUCUGAAUCAUAACACCUUUUACUCCACAAACCUAUACAAAGCGAACUCGGCAAAUAAAUUCCCUGCCUGUUUACCAAAAACAUCGUCUUUUGAUUUCCUCAAAUAAAAGAUAAUGCCUGCCCAGUGAAAAUCUUUAAACGGCCGCGUUAGCGUGAGCGUGCUAAGGUAGCGUAAUAAUUAGCCUUUUAAUUGGAGGCCAGUGAAUGGCAAGACUAGGAAUAACUGUACUUUGUAUAUAAAAAGAAUUUUUCAUCUAAGUGAAAAGACUUAGAUAAUAAAGGAAGACGAAAAGACCCCGCGGAACUUUACCUUUUCCUGUACUUCCGUCUACAAACUUUAAAAGUACAUGAGGUUUGAUUGGGGCAAUCUUGGAAUCAACAAAGCUUCCAAUUUAUUUUAAGCCAUAUUAAAAAUUUAUUAAGGACUAAAAAGUAGUUACCCCGGGGAUAACAGCGUAAUCCAACUUAAGAGUACACAUCGAAAGUUGGGUUUGCGACCUCGAUGUUGGCUUAAGGAUAUCCACAUAAGUGCAACCGCUAUGUCAGGAUAGUCUGUUCGACUAUUAUACCCUUACACGAGCUGAGUUAAGACCGGCGCAAGCUAGGUUGGUUUCUAUCUCCUUUAGAAAACCCUCUCUUGAUUGUACGAAAGGACCUCAAGAAAUGCAGUUAACAAAAGCAUUGUAUAAAACAUACAUCUACUUGAUUUUAAGUAAUACAC